GGUAAUUAAUCUGUCAAACAUUUUCAUGUAACUCUUUAAAAACACAGCAAAACCCAAACGAUCUGGACAAGUUUACAUCUAGCUGAUUCGGUCUCAAUCCUAUUACGUGUCUUGUGACAAAAUAUGAAGACUUGUUUGUUGCUGUUGCUUGUGAUCGCAGGGUGUUGUUCGGUCCCAUUAGACAUCCCGGAGCAAUGUUUAUUUGCUUGCACGCUGAUCUAUUCUCCAGUAUGUGGAGAUAAUGGUGUUACCUAUGACAACAGAUGCAACAUGAGGUUUCAGGCAUGCAUCAAUGGAAUUACAAUAGCGGUUCAACACACCGGACCGUGUGACGACAGUUAGAAUGUUUGACUGACGUGAAUAAAACAAAGAAAUUAUA
Molecule: long non-coding RNA, 379 nt
Organism: Patella vulgata (common limpet)
Lineage: Eukaryota; Metazoa; Mollusca; Gastropoda; Patellidae
Exons: 3
Source: RefSeq, a predicted model, not a curated record